GGGUAGGGUUUAAGGUUUAGUGAUUAGGGUUUAGGGUUUAAAUUUGGGUUUAGGGUUUAGUGGUUAGGGUUUAGGGUUUAGCAUUUGGAAGGUGGGAGUUGAGGUUGGGGUCCAUAUAACUUCUUACAUUCAAGCAUAGACGUUUCAUAAUUUCACCAAUAUGUACUAUACUAUUUAUUUUGUUCCAUUCUAUUUGGGUUUAAGUUUUUAUUUGUAUUUAAAUUUAGGUUUAGAGUUUAGUGAUUAGGGUUUAGGGUUUAAAUUUGGGUUUAGGGUUUAGUGAUUAGGGUUUAGGGUUUAAAUUUGGGUUUAGGAUUUAGUGGUUAGGGUUUAGCAUUUGGAAGGUGGGGGUUGAAGUUGGGGUCCAUAUAACUUCUUACAUUUAAGCAUAGACGUUUCAUAAUUUCACCAAUAUGUACUAUACUAUUUAUUUUGUUCCAUUCUAUUUGGGUUUAGGGUUUUUAUUUGUAUUUAAAUUUGGGUUUAGGGUUUAGUGAUUAGGGUUUAGGGUUUAGUAAUUAGGGUUUAGGGUUUAAAUUUGGGUUUAAGGUUUAGUGGUUAGGGUUUAGCAUUUGGAAGGUGUGGGUUGAGCUUGAGGUCCAUAUAACUUCCUACAUGCAAGCAUAGACGUUUCAUAAUUUCACCAAUAUGUAUUAUACUAUUUUUUUGUUCUAUUCUAUUUGGGUUUAAAGUUUAUAUUUGGAUUUAAGAUUUAUAUUUUGGUUUUGAGUCUAGAGAAUAUGGUUUUGGGUUUAAUAUUUAGGGGUUGUGGAUGGGGUUGUGAUAUGCUUUAUUAUUUUGGAUUGAUAUGAGAUUUGUGUUUUAUAUUAUUUUGUUGAUAUGGAAUAUAACACUAUGGUUUGAGUGUUGAAAUAGAUGGAAUACACCAUUUAUUGUAAAAAUGUUUUUGCUUUGUCUACAUAAUUACUAAAAACAAUGAAACGUAUG
This 948-nucleotide long non-coding RNA is filed under the name Brassica napus (rape). RNAcentral's name for it is "long non-coding RNA (BNAP_LNC001139)". Lineage: Eukaryota; Viridiplantae; Streptophyta; Magnoliopsida; Brassicales; Brassicaceae. The record is from RNAcentral.